RNAcentral lists this ribosomal RNA (252 nucleotides) under uncultured bacterium. RNAcentral describes it as "partial 16S ribosomal RNA". It matches the Rfam family "Bacterial small subunit ribosomal RNA", at positions 524 to 776 of the family's 1533-position model. The record is from RNAcentral.
GACAGAGGGUGCAAACGUUGCUCGGAAUUACUGGGCGUAAAGCGUGCGCAGGCGGUUUUGUAAGUCUGUCGUGAAAUCCCCGGGCUCAACCUGGGAAUUGCGAUGGAGACUGCAAGGCUAGAAUCUGGCAGAGGGGGGUAGAAUUCCACGUGUAGCAGUGAAAUGCGUAGAGAUGUGGAGGAACACCGAUGGCGAAGGCAGCCCCUGGGUCAAGAUUGACGCUCAUGCACGAAAGCGUGGGGAGCAAACAGG